This 449-nucleotide ribosomal RNA is filed under the name uncultured bacterium. RNAcentral describes it as "SSU rRNA". It matches the Rfam family "Bacterial small subunit ribosomal RNA", at positions 26 to 518 of the family's 1533-position model. The record is from RNAcentral.
AGAGCGAACGCUGGCGGCAGGCUUAACACAUGCAAGUCGAGCGGGCGUAGCAAUACGUCAGCGGCAGACGGGUGAGUAACGCGUGGGAACGUACCUUUUGGUUCGGAACAACCCAGGGAAACUUGGGCUAAUACCGGAUAAGCCCUUACGGGGAAAGAUUUAUCGCCGAAAGAUCGGCCCGCGUCUGAUUAGCUAGUUGGUGAGGUAAUGGCUCACCAAGGCGACGAUCAGUAGCUGGUCUGAGAGGAUGAUCAGCCACAUUGGGACUGAGACACGGCCCAAACUCCUACGGGAGGCAGCAGUGGGGAAUAUUGGACAAUGGGCGCAAGCCUGAUCCAGCCAUGCCGCGUGAGUGAUGAAGGCCCUAGGGUUGUAAAGCUCUUUUGUGCGGGAAGAUAAUGACGGUACCGCAAGAAUAACGCCCGGACUAACUUCGCGCCAGCAGCCGC